AAUCAACGCUGGCGGCGUGCCUCAGACAUGCAAGUCGAACGAUUAAAGCUCUCUUCGGAGAGUGUAUAGAGUGGCGCACGGGUGAGUAACACGUAAGUAAUCUACCUUUGAGUGGGGAAUAACAAUCGGAAACGAUUGCUAAUACCGCAUAAUGCAGCGGCAUCGCAAGAUGACAGUUGUUAAAGGAGCAAUCCGCUUAAAGAGGAGCUUGCGGCAGAUUAGCUAGUUGGUAAGGUAAUGGCUUACCAAGGCUACGAUCUGUAACCGGUCUAAGAGGACGGUCGGUCACACUGACACUGAAUAACGGGUCAGACUCCUACGGGAGGCAGCAGUCGGGAAUUUUGGGCAAUGGGCGAAAGCCUGACCCAGCAACGCCGCGUGAAGGAUGAAGUAUUUCGGUAUGUAAACUUCGAAAGAA
This 418-nucleotide ribosomal RNA is filed under the name uncultured bacterium. RNAcentral's name for it is "bacterial SSU rRNA". It matches the Rfam family "Bacterial small subunit ribosomal RNA", at positions 32 to 440 of the family's 1533-position model. The record is from RNAcentral.